UACGGAGGGUGCAAGCGUUAAUCGGAAUUACUGGGCGUAAAGCGCACGCAGGUGGCUGAGUCAGUCGAUUGUGAAAGCCCUGGGCUUAACCUGGGAAUUGCAGUCGAUACUACUCAGCUAGAGUAUGGGAGAGGGCAGUGGAAUUCCCGGUGUAGCGGUGAAAUGCGUAGAUAUCGGGAGGAACAUCAGUGGCGAAGGCGGGUCUCUGGGCCGUAACUGACGCUGAGGAGCGAAAGCGUGGGGAGCGAACAGG
RNAcentral lists this ribosomal RNA (253 nucleotides) under uncultured bacterium. RNAcentral describes it as "partial 16S ribosomal RNA". It matches the Rfam family "Bacterial small subunit ribosomal RNA", at positions 524 to 776 of the family's 1533-position model. The record is from RNAcentral.